Molecule: long non-coding RNA, 765 nt
Filed under: Arabidopsis thaliana (thale cress)
Lineage: Eukaryota; Viridiplantae; Streptophyta; Magnoliopsida; Brassicales; Brassicaceae
Description: potential natural antisense gene, locus overlaps with AT1G69588 (AT1G69587)
Source: RNAcentral
AGCACCGUUAGGCCCUCGGCGACUGAACCGUCGUAGCGAGCCGUUCCUUGCGGCUAGGUGCCAAUGAUUCUCCUCCCCACCGUAUGAGGAAACUGCUGAUCCGGCGGCGGAGUUAAACUCGCCGGAAGAUGUAUUCGGAGAAUAACUGCUCAAAAACAAAGCAAGCAGGAGACCAGUCGUUGGUCCAAAAAACAAAAAUACCCAUUUGCUGAUUUUGAGUUCCCCUCCCUUUGCUUUUUCAGCAUUCUCGAGAUCUUUGAUGUGGUCGGAGGGAUCCAAAAGAAGUUUAAAGCAAAGUAAAACAAAGCAAACUUGAGGUUAUUAUUGGAUUAUAGCUGAUGGUGAUAUUCCCUCGGUGGAUAAAGGUCCAAUACACAAUCAUUAAAACAACUGGCUGAUGAGUGAUGAGCGAUGACAAUAGCAAAUGAAUUAGGGAUGUUGCAAUGGACUGAGUUGUUUUGACCCAAUUUUGGUUUAGGGGUCCAAUUUUGUCCUGAUUUGAAGGUUUAGGCUUUGGACCGGCUUGUGGUUGACCACUCUAAAAUGAAUAGGCAGAUGUGUCCAUGGUCUGCGUCGGUGGGGGUUUAGGCUUUAGCCUCAUGCGGACUAAAAUGGACCUAGUUGGAGAAAAUAGAAAUUGGUGUGUGGGUUCUCUUGCCAUCACAAGAUUCACAAUUCCUUGUUUCUAGCAUAUUGAUGUCCAACUUAUGAAAUACUGUAGUUGGUGUCAGAUUCUGUUUUCUAUUUAUGAGAAUUACAAUUGUG